AUUGAACGCUGGCGGCAUGCUUUACACAUGCAAGUCGAACGGUAACAGGCCUUCGGGUGCUGACGAGUGGCGAACGGGUGAGUAAUUCAUCGGAACGUACCCAGAGGUGGGGGAUAACGCAGCGAAAGCUGUGCUAAUACCGCAUGUGAUCUGAGGAUGAAAGCGGGGGACCGAGCAGCAAUGUUUGGCCUCGCGCCUUUGGAGCGGCCGAUGUCGGAUUAGCUAGUUGGUGGGGUAAAGGCCUACCAAGGCGACGAUCCGUAGCUGGUCUGAGAGGACGACCAGCCACACUGGGACUGAGACACGGCCCAGACUCCUACGGGAGGCAGCAGUGGGGAAUUUUGGACAAUGGGCGCAAGCCUGAUCCAGCAAUGCCGCGUGCGGGAAGAAGGCCUUCGGGUUGUAAACCGCUUUUGGCAGGAACGAAACGGUGUCCGCUAAUACCGGGCGCUAAUGACGGUACCUGCAGAAUAAGCACCGGCUAACUACGUG
Molecule: ribosomal RNA, 492 nt
Filed under: uncultured bacterium
Lineage: Bacteria
Description: partial 16S ribosomal RNA
Rfam family: Bacterial small subunit ribosomal RNA
Source: RNAcentral